RNAcentral lists this long non-coding RNA (382 nucleotides) under Malus domestica (apple). RNAcentral's name for it is "long non-coding RNA (MDOM_LNC014860)". Lineage: Eukaryota; Viridiplantae; Streptophyta; Magnoliopsida; Rosales; Rosaceae. The record is from RNAcentral.
GGAACUUCAUGUCCUGAUCUUUAGGAUCAAGGGACUUCAUACCUGAUCCUUUUGCGUGAUGGAACUUCAGGUCCAAUCAUUUUAUAUGAUGAGGAUCAAGAAACUGCAGGUUCUGAUCUGAUCAAUGAACUUUAGGUCCUAUAUAUACUCAUUGUAACAAAAGAUAAGGACAAUAAAUAAAUUAAAGCAAUAGGCGGUAAUUCCAGCCAUAAUGAAUAAAUUGCAUUUAAGUAAAUAAAGCUUGUGACAAGGGCUUUAAUUCAGCACCAUCAAAGCUUAAAGCAAUAGGCGGUAAAACCGUCCAUGGUAAAUAAAUUUCUUUAAAGUAAAUAAAGCUUGUGACAAGGGCUUUGAUUCAGCACCAUUCACAUAAAUAUCAAAG